AGUAAUGACGUGAUUGUGAACACCCAGAGCACGAUACAUCCAUGCUGACACAGAAAAUAAGUAAUGACUUGGUUGUGAACACCCAGAGCAAGAUAUAUCCAUGCUGUUACAGAAAGGCAGUAAUGACUAUGCUGUGAACACCCAGAGCACAAUACAUCCAUGCUGACACAGAAAGGCAGUAAUGACUUGGUUGGGAACACCCAGAGCACAAUACAUCCAUGCUGACACAGAAAGGCAGUAAUGACUUGGCUGUGAACACAGAACACGAUACACCCAUGCUGACACAGAAAGGCAGUAAUGACUUGGCUGUGAACACAGAGCACAAUACAUCCAUGCUGAAACAGAAAGGCAGUCAUGACUAUGCUGUGAACACCCAGAGCACGAUAUAUCCAUGCUGACACAAAAAGGCAGUAAUGACUAUGCUGUGAACACCCAGAGCAAGAUAUAUCCAUGCUGACACAGAAAGGCAGUAAUGACUAUGCAGUGAACACCCAGAGCAAGAUAUAUCCAUGCUGACACAGAAAGGCAGUAAUGACUAUGCUGUGAACACCCAAAACACAAUACAUCCAUGCUGACACAGAAAGGCAGUAAUGACUUGGUUGUGAACACCAGGAGCAAGAUAUAUCCAUGCUGACACAGAAAGGCAGUAAUGACUUGGCUGUAAACACAGAACACAAUACACCCAUGCUGACACAGAAAGGCAGUAAUGACUUGGCUGUGAACACAGAACACAUUACACCCAUGCUGACACAGAAAGGCAGUAAUGACUUGGCUGUGAACACAGAGCUUAAUACAUCCAUGCUGACACAGAAAGGCAGUAAUGACUUGGCUGUAAACACAGAGCACAAUACAUCCAUGCUGACACAGAAAGGUAGUUAUGACUUGGCUGUAAACACAGAGCACAAUACAUUCAUGCUGACACAGAAAGGCAAUAAUGACUUGGCUGUAAACACAGAGCACAAUACAUCCAUGCUGACACAGAAAGGCAGUUAUGACUUGGUUGUGAACACAGAGCACAAUACAUCCUUGUUGACACAGAAAGGCAGUAGUGACUUUGCUGUGAACUCAGAGCACGAUACAUCCAUGCUGACACAGAAAGGCAGUAAAGACUUGGUUGUAAACACCCAGAGCACAAUACAUCCAUGCUGACACAGACAGGCAGUAAAGACUUUGUUGUAAACACUAAGAGAUCCAUACAUCCAUGGGGUGUGCCACAGCCGCAAAUUACGCCCACUAUUGUGAACAAGGUUCUUAAAGUGAACACGUCUGGUUUUGUUAUGAGCACAUAGCACUCCAAGCCCAAAAGGCCUCGCAUUAAAUUGAUGCAAGAGAAGGCUUUGGAAAAUAACAGCAGUUUUGUUGUGUGGUCCAGUACGCCCUUCGACUCGCAACCUGAAGAAAGCAGAACUCAAACUCGUCUCUUAGCAAUAUCAGCAAGGCUAGCAUGUCAUCUCAGCUUCUUGGACUUCAGUGAACUUUACUAGCAAACAUGACUAACGUCAUUGAAGUGAAAGUCGAUGACAACCCCCUUCUUGCACAAAUACUACAAUUGCUUAAGAAAUUCAGCACGAAGACGUCUUGCGUCAGACUACCAAGCCUCCUAUCAAUAUCUUCUCCCAUGUUGGCUACAUCAACACUUCCAACAGCAGAGCCUUGGUGAGUUCGACUUCCGUCUCGGCAUCGAUGUCGCUUAGCAACAAUUGGAUGAUUGCGUCGACAAAUUAGGCCGGACAAGUUGCUCGAACUGAAACGAUCUGAUUCAACAGGUAGAGCAGGCGUUGCCUGACACGUCCGUUAAUGUGACUGACCACGAUAUGUUGUUCUCGAAAAAUGUGAACCUUAGGCCUGGAGAGCAGUAUGCGAUUGACGCCAUUCAACAACAGUUGUUGUCGGCAAUUCUUGGGUUUGGGGUGGCGACUUCGGCGUCGGGACUCACACCAUCUCUGUCUAUGGCCCAGUGGCAGCAGCAGCAACAACAAGAACAAUAACCUGUUCCUACAGGAACCCAUGCAAUCAUAGAUCGGUACCUAGCUGAACAACAGGCUGUCUGGUCAGCUGGGCCCAGACGCCCAGUGACACUUCCUGGCCCAGGACCUUGGGGCAAAUGCUCAACUAGUCCUACCUGCAGGGUGGAGCCACUCUGAACCUGGGGCUCCAUACUUUCUUGGCCAGCGGCCAAGAUUACCUUGUCAAUGAGGGACACAUUCCUGGGAUGCCCUAAGGUCUUUCUAUCUGUUCACAGAGGUCUUAUACUCAUAAGUUCAAGCCCAGUGAGCGAUGUUCACAUUAUCAAACUCUGCAUCUCAAUAGAAACCCGGAUAGCAAGGCGUUGAGUUUGUUCUUGAAGCAUUUGCACCAGAAGCAGUCAUCAUCUUGAUAUUCUGGAAUCUCCAUGGUGAAGGACGACCUCAGUCUGUGAACAAAAUGCAGAGCUAACCUCAGAUGCCUUUUGACGAAAUCAAACCAUCCGAUCAGAAACACAGACUGUUGCAGCAGUUGUUACCAUAUUGACCGCAGUCAAACCUAAGAAGCUCAGAGAUAAAUACUGAUUUAGUUCUGCUAGUCUCUGCAUACCGCCUGGUUUGGUCAGCACUUACUCUGACUCUUUGAAUAUUAUGACGGAUGGAAAUGAAUGACCUUGUUCAGAUUGAAAUGGCAGAAUGACACAUCACAACAAUUCAAGUGGAAAGCCAGAAAGUCAUGUCAACAGCCACAUUUUGUAUGUCACCAGCCAAGUUGUAUUCAAAGACAAACAAUAGUUUAUUCUCUAUUGUGUAUGUGACCAGCCAAGUUGUAUUCAACGAAAAACAAUAGUUUACGUUUUAUUUUUUAUGUGACCUACCAAGUUGUUUGUAUAGGUCCCUGGUUUAGCAAAGCAUUUAAAGUAUUUUUAAAAGCACACAUAUUGCAUGUCAAUUCAAUGUCUUUGCCUGUAUUAUGAAACUUUCACUACAGAUGUUGAUCCUCAUGAUGGUAAAUAAAUGGGAAAUACAAUGUUAUCAAAGAUUUGUUAAGAUUGCCAAAGCUGUUUAAAUGAUGCUGGUAACUUGAACAAGAUUGAAAAAAACAUUGGAGUGUUUUCAUGUUAUAAGACAUGUUUCAGUUGUCUGUUUUUAACCCGUUAAUAUAGAUUAGCUAAUGAAAAGUAUUUGUUCAGAAAGGUGUAAAAUGUUUACGCUUCAGAUUUUUGUCAAUCAACCUUAUGAAAACAAUACUAGUCAAUUGGCUCAUUCGGGUCGGUAUUCUAUCAUGAAUCUUUUUUAGUAGCAUACUAUGUAUUUCAUGGGAAUAUAAAUAAAUUCUGGGCAAAAUUAUUUAAUCUACCUGAAAUAAUCGAUUCUGUAUUUACUACUAGUACUUUGUUGAUUUCAAUGGAUAGUGUUUGUUAAAUGAGUAGAGUAUGACUCUUGUUGAAAAGCUUUAAAUGAAACUGUGAAUUAAAAAAUAAAUAUUAAAUUUGUUUUACAGUUUUAUGAAAAAUGGCAAAAUAUUGUUAAGUUGUGUUGUUUUAUCAUAUACUAACAUGGUCAUAAGUGUUAAAAUUUGUUUUCGGACAUAAUAGUUUAUUAUGCUUUAUAUUUGUAUAUGUACAUAACGACGACAAGAUUGUAUCCUCUUUAAUCAGUGAGCAACUUAAUCAAGAUAUCUUGAUCACUGUAUCAAGUGUAUAUUUUGCCAUUUAUACAUAGAGCAACUGUAAAACAAUUGUAUUUUAAAUGUAAUGUAUCCAUGUAUUGUUGCCAUUUUUAUUAGAUAAACUCACUGUUAACAUUAAUUUGUACAAACUAUUGUUAUAAAAAACAUUUCUUGUUUCAAUGCUAAAAUAUGUAUUAAACUGUUAAAAUAAUGCACAGUAACAACUUCUGAAGAGAAAAAUAUACUUAAGGUAAUAGAAACACAUUGUUAUAUGAAAUGCUUUUUAUUAAGAACACCUACUUAAAAUUUGUUUAAUUUUGUUUAACAUUAUCUGAAGAAAAAAUAGUACCUUGUAAUUUGAAAUCAGUCAAUGAAAAAAAAGGGAGUGUUGCCAUAUGCUAACAAUAGUCAAGAAGUGCAAAUGCCUUUAUGGUUAAUACAACAGAGCAAUACAAUUUGCUUAAACUAGAGCACCACAUAAAGGGUGCCAUGCUCGGCUACGGGUGCAGUUUUGAAUAAAUGAAAGCUUGACAUAAUUUAUUUGAGAGGUCACAGUGACUUGACCAUUGACCUAGUGACCCCAAAAUGGGUGUGGUGUGUAGAACUCAUCAAUGUGCAUCUACAUAUGAAGUUUGAAAGUUGUAGUUGGAAGCACUUUGAUUUUAGAGCCAAUGUUAAGGUUUAAGCACGACACGGACGGCGGACGACACAACGAACUGGCUAUGACAUUACCUCGGGUUUUCUCCGAAAAUAUCCAGCUAAAAAUAAAAACAAAGAUGUCUGUUUUGCAAAUUUUUUUAACACUUAUGAAUGUGCUUAUAUUAAACGUGAACAGUAUUGACAUAUUGCUUAUGAUAAAGUUUGACAUUUUAUUAGUUUUGUAACAGCGUGUUUGACCUUUCAAAUUGACCCUCCCACAAUCCCUUAUUCGCUUUCAGUGGGGCCAGUUUCUGUACAUCUUCCACUACAAGUUCAGCAAAUGUUUUAUGACCAGAUUUCCUCAUAUUUGUGAAUGUUUAUAUUUAACUUUUAUUGAAUGCAUGAAACAUGUUUGUUCUGUUUUUGAAAAGCUGAAAAUAGCUUGAUGUUUGUAAAUUGUGAGACAUGUUAGAUCAAAUUGAUAUAUAGAAAAAAACACAUUUUGCAUUAACUUGUAUUGGUAGCUAAA
Dreissena polymorpha is the source of this 4804-nucleotide long non-coding RNA. RefSeq lists it as uncharacterized. NCBI's taxonomy places the organism in Eukaryota, Metazoa, Mollusca, Bivalvia, Myida, Dreissenidae. The record is from RefSeq and is a predicted model, not a curated record. The transcript is spliced from 6 exons.